This 65-nucleotide non-coding RNA is filed under the name marine eukaryotic metagenome. RNAcentral describes it as "SAM riboswitch (alpha-proteobacteria)". It matches the Rfam family "Alpha-proteobacteria SAM riboswitch aptamer", at positions 10 to 74 of the family's 79-position model. From Rfam's summary of the family: This family is a riboswitch found predominantly in alpha-proteobacteria that binds S-adenosyl methionine (SAM). This SAM riboswitch is located upstream of the metA and metC genes in Agrobacterium tumefaciens, and other methionine and SAM biosynthesis genes in other alpha-proteobacteria. Like the other SAM riboswitch, it probably functions to turn off expression of these genes in response to elevated SAM levels. The record is from RNAcentral.
UAGUGGUGAUUUGUCUGACCGGCUUGCGGCCACGCUAAAAAACUCGCUAAAAGGUCUCGGUUAAU